RNAcentral lists this ribosomal RNA (490 nucleotides) under uncultured bacterium. RNAcentral describes it as "partial 16S ribosomal RNA". It matches the Rfam family "Bacterial small subunit ribosomal RNA", at positions 30 to 507 of the family's 1533-position model. The record is from RNAcentral.
AUUGAACGCUGGCGGCAGGCCUAACACAUGCAAGUCGAACGGUAACAGGAAGAAGCUUGCUUCUUUGCUGACGAGUGGCGGACGGGUGAGUAAUGUCUGGGAAACUGCCUGAUGGAGGGGGAUAACUACUGGAAACGGUAGCUAAUACCGCAUAACGUCGCAAGACCAAAGAGGGGGACCUUCGGGCCUCUUGCCAUCGGAUGUGCCCAGAUGGGAUUAGCUAGUAGGUGGGGUAACGGCUCACCUAGGCGACGAUCCCUAGCUGGUCUGAGAGGAUGACCAGCCACACUGGAACUGAGACACGGUCCAGACUCCUACGGGAGGCAGCAGUGGGGAAUAUUGCACAAUGGUCGCAAGCCUGAUGCAGCCAUGCCGCGUGUAUGAAGAAGGCCUUCGGGUUGUAAAGUACUUUCAGCGGGGAGGAAGGGAGUAAAGUUAAUACCUUUGCUCAUUGACGUUUCCCGCAGAAGAAGCACCGGCUAACUCCGUG